GACGAACGCUGGCGGCGUGCUUAACACAUGCAAGUCGAACGGAAAGGCCCUGCUUGCAGGGUACUCGAGUGGCGAACGGGUGAGUAACACGUGGGUGAUCUGCCCUGCACUUCGGGAUAAGCCUGGGAAACUGGGUCUAAUACCGGAUAGGAGCCAUUUUUAGUGUGAUGGUUGGAAAGUUUUUUCGGUGUAGGAUGAGCUCGCGGCCUAUCAGCUUGUUGGUGGGGUAAUGGCCUACCAAGGCGGCGACGGGUAGCCGGCCUGAGAGGGUGGACGGCCACAUUGGGACUGAGAUACGGCCCAGACUCCUACGGGAGGCAGCAGUGGGGAAUAUUGCACAAUGGGCGCAAGCCUGAUGCAGCGACGCCGCGUGGGGGAUGACGGCCUUCGGGUUGUAAACUCCUUUCGCUAGGGACGAAGCUUUUUGUGACGGUACCUAGAUAAGAAACACCGGCUAACUACGU
This 464-nucleotide ribosomal RNA is filed under the name uncultured bacterium. Its description in RNAcentral is "partial 16S ribosomal RNA". It matches the Rfam family "Bacterial small subunit ribosomal RNA", at positions 28 to 506 of the family's 1533-position model. The record is from RNAcentral.